AAGUCGUAACAAGGUUUCCGUAGGUGAACCUGCGGAAGGAUCAUUAUUGAAUUUUGAAGGGGUUGUAGCUGAUCUUUUCAAGAUAUGUGCACACCUCUAUCUAUACACCCAUGUGCACCUUUUGUAGGCUUUUUUGCCUAUGUUUAUACACACACACCAUUUUGUACAAGAAUGUUAUUAAUGAAAAUUUAAUACAACUUUCAACAACGGAUCUCUUGGCUCUCGCAUCGAUGAAGAACGCAGCGAAAUGCGAUAAGUAAUGUGAAUUGCAGAAUUCAGUGAAUCAUCGAAUCUUUGAACGCACCUUGCGCUCCUUGGUAUUCCGAGGAGCAUGCCUGUUUGAGUGUCAUUAAAUUAUCAACCUCUUCAAGAGGCUUGGAUUUGGAGUGUUGCUGGCUUGUUGUUGGCUCCUCUUAAAUGAAUUAAGCUUGUGUGUAGGCUUUGGUUUGAUAAUAUCUAUGCCAUCGCUGUAAUGCAAAACAACCUUGAAAUUUGACCUCAAAUCAGGUAGGACUACCCGCUGAACUUAAGCAUAUCAAUAAGCGGAGGAAAAGAAACUAACAAGGAUUCCCCUAGUAACUGCGAGUGAAGCGGGAAAAGCUCAAAUUUAAAAUCUGAUAGUCUUUAUGGCUGUCCGAGUUGUAAUCUAGAGAAGUGCUUUCCGCGUUGGACCGUGUACAAGUCUCUUGGAACAGAGCGUCAUAGAGGGUGAGAAUCCCGUCUUUGACACGGACUACCAGUGCUUAUGUGAUGCGCUCUCAAAGAGUCGAGUUGUUUGGGAAUGCAGCUCAAAAUGGGUGGUAAAUUCCAUCUAAAGCUAAAUAUUGGCGAGAGACCGAUAGCGAACAAGUACCGUGAGGGAAAGAUGAAAAGAACUUUGGAAAGAGAGUUAAACAGUACGUGAAAUUGUUGAAAGGGAAACGCUUGAAGUCAGUCACGUUGGCCAGAAAUCAACCCUCAUGGGUGUACUUUCUGGUUUUACGGGUCAGCAUCAAUUUUGAUUGUUGGAUAAAAGUCAAUAUUUAUGCAUUUUCGGAUGUAUAGCCUUUGGUUGCAUACAACAGUUGGGAUUGAGGAACUCAGCAUGCCGCAAGGCCGGGUCACUUGUGAUCACGUACAUGCUUAGGAUGCUGGCAUAAUGGCUUUAAUCGACC
RNAcentral lists this ribosomal RNA (1154 nucleotides) under uncultured fungus. RNAcentral describes it as "eukaryotic LSU rRNA". The stretch from base 494 to 1154 matches the Rfam family "Eukaryotic large subunit ribosomal RNA", at positions 1 to 649 of the family's 3401-position model. Lineage: Eukaryota; Fungi. The record is from RNAcentral.